This 409-nucleotide ribosomal RNA is filed under the name uncultured bacterium. RNAcentral's name for it is "bacterial SSU rRNA". It matches the Rfam family "Archaeal small subunit ribosomal RNA", at positions 338 to 747 of the family's 1478-position model. The record is from RNAcentral.
GGCGCGAAAACUUUACAAUGCUGGCAACAGCGAUAAGGGAACCUCGAGUGCCAGGUUACAAAUCUGGCUGUCGAGAUGCCUAAAAAGCAUUUCAUAGCAAGGGCCGGGCAAGACCGGUGCCAGCCGCCGCGGUAACACCGGCGGCUCGAGUGGUAACCGUUAUUAUUGGGUCUAAAGGGUCUGUAGCCGGCCGGAUAAGUCUCUUGAGAAAUCUGGCAGCUUAACUGUCAGGCUUUCAGGAGAUACUGUCUGGCUCGAGGCCGGGAGAGGUGAGAGGUACUUCAGGGGUAGGGGUGAAAUCUUGUAAUCCUUGAAGGACCACCAGUGGCGAAGGCGUCUCACCAGAACGGACCUGACGGCAAGGGACGAAAGCUAGGGGCACGAACCGGAUUAGAAACCCUAGUAGUCC